RNAcentral lists this long non-coding RNA (952 nucleotides) under Marmota monax (woodchuck). The record is from RNAcentral. Lineage: Eukaryota; Metazoa; Chordata; Mammalia; Rodentia; Sciuridae.
GUAGAAGUCAUCACAUCUUUCAUUUUUAGACAAAUUUUUAAAAACUUAAUUGAAAAUAUAACAUGAUUUUAAGUAGCAAAAUACAAUUUUGAUCUUUUUUCUGUGAUAUUAAUGUAAUAUAGUAGAUAUCUGAAUAGGUUUUAUUGUAUAGUUACUCACAUACAAAAAUAACAAUUUUUUUGGCCAAAUUAAAAAUGUCUCCCUACUAGGUAGUUCAAUUAGAUAAUUUCUGGGGAAAAGAAAAUUUUAAGACUAUUGGUCUUUAACCAAGGAGUAAGUGUCAAGCAGUCUUACUGUAGAUGUCCUUAAAAUGAUGUUAUUAUAAAUUAGAUGGAUAAAGCUUUUAUAUGCUAGAUUUAAAUAGUUUCAGAACACAUUUUAAAAUCACCAGGCUGUUUUAGGUUGUGUGGCAUAUAAAAAAAAAGUUGUAUUUAUUUAUUCAUGUUGUUGUUUCUUUUAAAAAUGAUGGCAAAAUAGGGCUUGCCUGAAAAAUCAUAAAGCUGUUGGAGAUACUGCCCCAUUAGCAUGCUGUUCCCAUAACAAACACUAUUUUCAGAUUAUUUCUUUGCCUGUUUCGUUUAAACCAGCUAUUGAUUGGAGUAAAAUUUCCCCCUUACAGUGUACUUGAUUUAGCUUUUGGUGUAAAUGUGUGUGUAGUAUGAAAACUACUUAAUUUUUUUUUUCACUUAAACUUUGUGGAGACAAAAAAAAAAUCAUAUAUAUAUUUAUCUCAGAGCCAUUCAAUGUCAAAUAGCAAGAAAGCUGGGCCAGAUUUUUCAGCUUGUCCUGCAUAGUCAUUUGUCAGCCUGAGUUGACAGUCCUGGUUCUUUUGUCCCCACUAUGAGUACCAAAGCCUUCCACUGUGGUUGGAUUCUUCCUAAGUCCAGGUUUAACAAGGAAAGGAAACCACAACUAAGUGUUAGUGGCCAAUUAAGAAAAAAAUAAACUAAAU